GCCACCUUAGCUCAGUUGGUAGAGCAUCGGAUUCGUAACCCGAAGGUCGCCGGUUCAAUUCCGGCAGGUGGCUCCA
RNAcentral lists this transfer RNA (76 nucleotides) under Acidobacteriota bacterium. RNAcentral's name for it is "tRNA-Thr". It matches the Rfam family "tRNA". Rfam says of the family: Transfer RNA (tRNA) molecules are approximately 80 nucleotides in length. Their secondary structure includes four short double-helical elements and three loops (D, anti-codon, and T loops). Lineage: Bacteria; Pseudomonadati; Acidobacteriota. RNAcentral also lists the same sequence under 1 other name. The record is from RNAcentral.